This 441-nucleotide ribosomal RNA is filed under the name uncultured bacterium. Its description in RNAcentral is "partial 16S ribosomal RNA". It matches the Rfam family "Bacterial small subunit ribosomal RNA", at positions 338 to 795 of the family's 1533-position model. The record is from RNAcentral.
CCUACGGGAGGCAGCAGUGGGGAAUAUUGCGCAAUGGAGGAAACCCUGACGCAGUGACGCCGCGUGCAGGAAGAAGGUUUUCGGAUUGUAACCCGCUUUAAACAGGGAAGAAAAAAGACGGUACCUGUCGAAUAAGCUCCGGCUAACUACGUGCCAGCAGCCGCGGUAAUACGUAGGGGGCAAGCGUUAUCCGGAUUUAUUGGGUGUAAAGGGCGCGUAGACGGCGAGUCAAGUUAGUUGUGAAAGCCCACGGCUUAACUGAGGAACUGCAACUAAAACUGCUGACCUUGAGUACUGGAGAGGAAAGUGGAAUUCCUGGUGUAGCGGUGAAAUGCGUAGAUAUUAGGAGGAACACCAGUGGCGAAGGCGACUUCCUGGACAGUAACUGACGUUGAGGCACGAAAGUGUGGGGAGCAAACAGGAUUAGAUACCCUAGUAGUC